Molecule: ribosomal RNA, 253 nt
Filed under: uncultured bacterium
Lineage: Bacteria
Description: partial 16S ribosomal RNA
Rfam family: Bacterial small subunit ribosomal RNA
Source: RNAcentral
UACGGGGGGGGCAAGCGUUGUUCGGAAUUACUGGGCGUAAAGGGCUCGUAGGCGGCCGACUAAGUCAGACGUGAAAUCCCCCGGCUUAACCGGGGAACUGCGUCUGAUACUGGACGGCUUGAAUUCGGGAGAGGGAUGCGGAAUUCCAGGUGUAGCGGUGAAAUGCGUAGAUAUCUGGAGGAACACCGGUGGCGAAGGCGGCAUCCUGGACCGACAUUGGCGCUGAGGAGCGAAAGCCAGGGGAGCAAACGGG